Molecule: long non-coding RNA, 1100 nt
Filed under: Homo sapiens (human)
Lineage: Eukaryota; Metazoa; Chordata; Mammalia; Primates; Hominidae
Description: HSALNT0041135
Source: RNAcentral
CUCAAUUGUUUCAUGAGUGGGAAUUCCAUCUCCAUCACUAGACUGUGAGCUUUGCCAGGAGGUAGAGCAUAUUUUAGACAUUGUUUACUGUUCACACUCCUGCAGUAGUGCCUGGUACAGUGUGAUGUUCAAUGAGUGCUUACGCAGAAAGAAAAGAAGAUAGGAAGGAAAAAGAAAGGAAGGUAACAUUUUGAAUUAAAAAAUGAAUCUUUCAUUGUUUCCAUUUCCAACAGUACCAAUCAUGCUGUGGACACUUAAAUAAGAAUCUUCGCUCAACUGGCCAAACAGAAAAAAAAACAUGGGCUUUAGAAUUAUGUAUCACCUUGCCAACAUUACAGUGAAGCUCACAUGAGAUCCUGAAACUGCCCUCAGUGAAGAAACUAAAGCUCAUCAGAUUACCGUGUCCAGAAAGUGAGACACCAGCUCCCCCUAUCCAUCAUGACUGCUUCCUUACCACUCCCUAAUUCCUGUUUUUCCACCUUUCCUGCCAUAUAAACCCCACCAUUUUAGUUGGGUAGAAGAUGGAUUUGCUACUUUAUCUCCUGUUAUCUUUGGCUGCAGCACCAGAUUAAAGCCUUCUUCCCUGACAAUACUCCUUGUCUCAGUGAUUGGCAUUCAUGCCACAAGCAGCAGGACCUAUACUGAACCCCUGGAGUUUUGGUGACAUUAUGAUUACCAGGAUAAGAGACAGCAGCUACUAAUGAAACAUAAAUCAGUGUGGCCGAGGAUGUCAUGCAAAGAAAUGGUCCUUUGCUCAAUCCAGGUGAAAGGUAAGCUUCUAGAAACUUAACUUAACUGCCCAAAGGGAGAAUGGAGGAAGGAGACAGAAAGAAUAUUUGAUUGGUUGAGUUUAAAAAUCUCAAUAAACUAAUUUAAUAGUAGGAGUGAUUUCAUAAACCUGAAUUAAAACUUGAAAAUUUUCAGCUUCUCAUUGAAAUGAGAAUGUCAAGAAAACCUUCGCCUACAUAUAGAUAAAGUUAUAUCUCUUUUUGUACUCAGGCCUGUGUAUUACUAAGACUACACUAUUUAAAUUGACUACUAUACUUUGUGUAUAGUUUGGACUUGAAAGGAAUUUGAUGAGGUUUUGAGAAUAAUAGCAA